UGGGGAAUAUUGCACAAUGGGGGAAACCCUGAUGCAGCGACGCCGCGUGAAGGAAGAAGUAUUUCGGUAUGUAAACUUCUAUCAGCAGGGAAGAAGAAAGUGACGGUACCUGACUAAGAAGCCCCGGCUAACUACGUGCCAGCAGCCGCGGUAAUACGUAGGGGGCAAGCGUUAUCCGGAUUUACUGGGUGUAAAGGGAGCGUAGGCGGCUGAGCAAGUCAGAAGUGAAAGCCCGCGGCUUAACUGCGGGAUUGCUUUUGAAACUGCCCAGCUUGAUUGCCGGAGAGGUAAGUGGAAUUCCUAGUGUAGCGGUGAAAUGCGUAGAUAUUAGGAGGAACACCAGUGGCGAAGGCGGCUUACUGGACGGUCAAUGACGCUGAGGCUCGAAAGCGUGGGGAGCAAACA
Molecule: ribosomal RNA, 405 nt
Filed under: uncultured bacterium
Lineage: Bacteria
Description: bacterial SSU rRNA
Rfam family: Bacterial small subunit ribosomal RNA
Source: RNAcentral